Molecule: ribosomal RNA, 414 nt
Filed under: uncultured microorganism
Description: bacterial SSU rRNA
Rfam family: Archaeal small subunit ribosomal RNA
Source: RNAcentral
CAGCAGCCGCGGUAAUACCGGCGGCCCGAGUGGCGGCCACUAUUAUUGGGCUUAAAGCGUCCGUAGCCGGGUUGGUUAGUCUCCCGGGAAAUCUGGCCGCUUAACGAUCAGACUUCCGGAGGAUACUGCUGGCCUAGGGACCGGGAGAGGCCGAGGGUAUUCCCGGGGUAGGGGUGAAAUCCUGUAAUCCCGGGAGGACCACCUGUGGCGAAGGCGCUCGGCUGGAACGGGUCCGACGGUGAGGGACGAAGGCCAGGGGAGCGAACCGGAUUAGAUACCCGGGUAGUCCUGGCUGUAAACGAUGCGGACUAGGUGUCGGGCAAGCUAAGGGCUUGUCCGGUGCCGCAGGGAAGCCGUUAAGUCCGCCGCCUGGGGAGUACGGCCGCAAGGCUGAAACUUAAAGGAAUUGGCGGG